UGCACCUACUCAAGUACAACGAGAUACUGCGUCUACUCGAGUACAACGAAAUACUGCGAAAGCUUUUAGAAGAUUAAAAUAGGAGUCAAGUAACGGCAUUCUUUUUAUACAGUUGCUCAUGAAGGUAUUCAUAUUCUUGCAGAAGACACCUUUUAUGAAUAUACUAUAUGUCUUGAAAGAAACAUUUUGAAAUGUCAUUAGUAUUGUAACAAAAUCCGAUUGUCAUAGCUAUAUUGGUAAAGUUUUUAGCAAAUCUGAAAAUAUACAUAGAUAUUACAAAACACCUAACACAAGUAUGCAGAUAUUUUGUAGAAAUCAAUAAAGUAUUUAAACAGUCAUUUAACAUUUCAUCAAACAUUUUCCAUAUGUAUGAAAUAAGCCUAAAUAUUUACUGGAACCACUUUUGAGAUUUUUUCUAGGCAUACCAAGGAGGCUAUUAAUGCUGUGUGCUAAUCUUUAUUAAAUAUAUGUUUGUAAAUAACUUUUAUGUAUAUUUUCAGAUUGGUUUUUGGCUUUUCUAUCAUAAAAAUAGUAGUUGCAAAAUACUUUUAUGAUCCAUUGUAUCUAUUUCAUACAAUCGUGAGAAAACAAGUCGAAGACGCUUCGUUUUCGAAGAAAAAAGAAAAAAGAAAAAAGAAAAAUGAAACGAUUUUGAACAUUUUCUCGAUGCUGCUAUACGCACAUACUCUUUAUGAUAUAUCAAUUCUUGGAUCAAUAACGAACUUUCAUUAUUGAUGAGCUGCUGCUAGUGGAUGAGGAAACUUAAUAAAAUAUCGAAUGUCUGCAAUUUAUUGAGAAUAACGAGUUUAUGUGGGUAACAGAUAUAUCCUUUCAUUAAACAUAGGUCUUAUAUAACUCGUUUAUAGUUGAGAAGGAAAAUACUAAUCAGUACUAAUUAAAUUCAUGAAUUAAUAACUUUUUUUUUGUAACGAAAGAAAUGUUGCGAUGCAUAAUGUACAAUGUAUUGAAUUUGCUUCAUACAUUUAAUUGAUUCUGAACAAUUAUCUUUGCUUCAUUAUUUUUGAAUAAAUUCAGUAUUUACAACUUAAUAAUUGUAAUAAAAUUAUAUCAUUCAGAUAAUAAGAAAACGCUUAAUAAUAAUUAUUACGAUGCAAAAAAAAAAUAAUAAGUAUAUCUAUAACGAGAGAAAAUAUUAACAACAAUUGAUAUACAAAUAAUAAGUUUGUGUUUGAAAGUAACUUAUUGGCAAAUUGAUAAUGUAUCUUUCAACAUAGAAAUCUUGCAAGUUGUAAAACGUAGAAGGACGAGUUAAGUGUUCUGAGACCUUAUUAAAUCUGUUGCAACUGUGCAUAGCUAUUUGCAAAUCAAGAUGUGUAGAUGUUCGAGAUGCCGAAGCACUGUUCGUUAUGAAUAACACGCAGCGUAGUUGCACCUGUUACAUCUCUGUCGAGCACAAUUAUAUUAGUUCCUUUCGUAAUCUACCUGAAUAUACUACCUCCCUUCUCGCUAAUAAUACGGAAAUUGCAGAGAAUGGUAUAACGCAAUACAUUGUGUUUUUUAACUAAAGAUGAAACAAGCAUAAUUGUGGAUUAUGACAUUUUGCUCGAUUUUCUGAUUUUAAUGUCACUUGAUGAUAAAAGUAGGUGUGACAUUUUAAUAUAUAUAUACAUAUAUGUCGGAGAUGAAAGGACAUUGGAGUUUUUCUUUUGAAAUGUUUGGAAAGGUCCCCGAUACUUUAGUCCAGUUUUUUUUUAUUAUUAUUAUAGCUGUAUUUAAAUAAUAAAGCUGAGAAAUAAUUAUUUAUGAUUUAAUCCGAAUAUGGAUGCCCUAGAUUUAUGGGUGCCCUAGAUUUAUGGGUGCCCUAGAUUUAUGGAUGCCCUAGAUUAAUGGGACGCGGUCACGGUCAGGGCAAGGACGUGUACUUAAUAGAGGUAUGAAGUAAAUGAAUAGCUCUCUUUAAAAACAAAGAUUGAUCCGAGGGGUACAGAGAGGUACGGAGAGGAGUAUAUAAGUUUUACAUUACACGAUAUAUGGUGUGUGUGUGUGUGUGUGUGUGUGUGUGUGUGUGUGUGUGUGUGUGUGUGUGUGUGUGUGUGUGUGUGUGUGUGUGUGUGUGUACACGUGUGUAUAUCGUGUAAUGUAAUGGGGGAGAGUAUAGUGCUAGUAGGUUUUAAUAU
Molecule: long non-coding RNA, 2138 nt
Organism: Bombus pascuorum
Lineage: Eukaryota; Metazoa; Arthropoda; Insecta; Hymenoptera; Apidae
Exons: 2
Source: RefSeq, a predicted model, not a curated record